Molecule: ribosomal RNA, 520 nt
Filed under: uncultured Acaulospora
Lineage: Eukaryota; Fungi; Glomeromycota; Glomeromycetes; Diversisporales; Acaulosporaceae
Description: SSU rRNA
Rfam family: Eukaryotic small subunit ribosomal RNA
Source: RNAcentral
AGCAGCCGCGGUAAUUCCAGCUCCAAUAGCGUAUAUUAAAGUUGUUGCAGUUAAAAAGCUCGUAGUUGAAUUUCGGGAUUUAUCCGUCGGUCGGGCUUUUGGGUCUGUACUGGCGUGAUGGAUUCCUACCUUCUGAAUAACCGGCAUGUCAUUAAUUUGGUGCGCUGGGGAAGCAGGACUGUUACCUUGAAAAAAUUAGGGUGCUUAAAGCAGGCUAUUGCCUGAAUACAUUAGCAUGGAAUAAUGAAAUAGGACGGCAUGGUUCUAUUUUGUUGGUUUCUAGGAUCACCGUAAUGAUUAAUAGGGAUAGUUGGGGGCAUUAGUAUUCAAUUGUCAGAGGUGAAAUUCUUGGAUUUAUUGAAGACUAACUUCUGCGAAAGCAUUUGCCAAGGAUGUUUUAUUAAUCAAGAACGAAAGUUAGGGGAUCGAAGACGAUCAGAUACCGUCGUAGUCUUAACCAUAAACUAUGCCGACUAGGGAUCGGACGAUGUUAAUUUUUUAAUGACUCGUUCGGCGCCUU